RNAcentral lists this ribosomal RNA (310 nucleotides) under uncultured bacterium. RNAcentral describes it as "bacterial SSU rRNA". It matches the Rfam family "Bacterial small subunit ribosomal RNA", at positions 28 to 342 of the family's 1533-position model. The record is from RNAcentral.
GACGAACGCUGGCGGCGUGCUUAACACAUGCAAGUCGAGCGGUAAGGCCCUUUCGGGGGUACACGAGCGGCGAACGGGUGAGUAACACGUGGGUGACCUGCCCUUAGCUCUGGGAUAAGCCUGGGAAACUGGGUCUAAUACCGGAUAUGACUCCAUAACGCAUGUUGUGGGGUGAAAGCCUUGUGCGGCUAGGGAUGGGCCCGCGGCCUAUCAGCUUGUUGGUGGGGUGAUGGCCUACCAAGGCGACGACGGGUAGCCGGCCUGAGAGGCGACCGGCCACACUGGGACUGAGACACGGCCCAGACUCUAC